CCUGUGUAUUUCCUUUUACUCUGUGGAUUUUUUUUUUCCUUUCAGUCUAUUUUCAGUCUGUUUUUAUUCCUUGGUUUUAGAAAAGGAAUUUAUUUGUUUGCAGUUAGAAGUAGUUAGGAGUUUUUCACUGCAUAAUGCUAUUUGACUCCUCCCACCCUAGGCUAAAAUAUUGUCCUCUGGUUUCAGAACUGCUUAUCUUGCUGUGAAAUGAAAAGACCCUUUCGAAGUCAACAUCCGGAAGUUUCUGACAGUGAGGAGAGGUGUUAACAGCUGCCAUGAAAGGGCUACUGAACUUGGUUCUCCUUGGACUCCAAAAUGCCCAAACAACUCAUUAAAAAUGGUAAGGAACUGAUCCCAUUGACAGAAACUUUGUCUUCCUUUGGAUGCAAGUACAUGCACAUGAGGAAAGGAUUAAAACAAUAUCUUACAUCCUACUACUGAGUUGGUAAAAAGAAGAGACUUUUGAGACUUUGAGAAGCGACUUUUAGUGGUGGCCCACACCAGCCUACAUCAGUGAGCAAGUUAUAACUCCUUGAAUGUCGUGAAAGACUUGAAGGUAAGUAUGAGGCAAAGAAAAGAUUGCAUCUUUACAUUUUCCACACUUAACAUUGCUACAUCAAAAU
RNAcentral lists this long non-coding RNA (623 nucleotides) under Numida meleagris (helmeted guineafowl). RNAcentral describes it as "lncRNA (ENSNMEG00000019076.1)". Lineage: Eukaryota; Metazoa; Chordata; Aves; Galliformes; Numididae. The record is from RNAcentral.